Molecule: long non-coding RNA, 312 nt
Organism: Saccostrea cuccullata (small rock oyster)
Lineage: Eukaryota; Metazoa; Mollusca; Bivalvia; Ostreida; Ostreidae
Exons: 3
Source: RefSeq, a predicted model, not a curated record
UAGGGUGGGACCAACAGAAGUGUCACAUCAAAGUUGCACAUAGGAGCUGGAGAGAAAUCCUGAUUAAGAAUUAAUAGCAAGACCAGUGAGUCAGAAACCUUUUAGUAUGCCAUAUCUUUCCUUCUGAGCUUCUUUUUGGAUGUUGUUCUGGCAAUUCAGCACCUCCCGAGGCUCCCCCAGUGUUUGAUUUCCUCGAUACAGAGGCGUGUCCUAGAAUAACAGAAUUCAUUGUGUUGCAGUAUCCUAGUUUGUAAAGACAGAGCUCCUCAAAACCAAGCACAGAUGAUAUAAUGUCUUGUCUAGUCUGGUGUG